CUCCCCGGUCUACGUCAAGGUCAAGAGCGCGGAGCCGGCUGACUGCGCCGAGGGGCCGGUGCAGUGCAAGAACGGCCUCUUGGUGAUUCCUGCAAUAACUUCAUUUUCCUGCCUUCACUCUCGGCACCUUCAAUCCAUUCUCCAUGCAGCUGCCAGCGUGAUCUUUUAAAACCUCCAGCCCACACUGUGAAGAGCCUUGUGCCCACAGCUGUGCACAUCCUGGGCUUCCUCCACACCUUGUCCAUAAACUGCCCCUCAGCUACCUUCAGACCCAGGAUACAGACGCAGCCUCCAGAAGAAUAAAUGCUCCAUUAGCAGCUGGCUGGAGCUGGCUGAGGCUCUGGCUGGUGACUCUGGCCUCUGGUGUAGACUUCCCUCAGGUGAGUGCAUGGAUGAGAGCUCUACCUUCUCCUGACUGCCCAGGCCUCAGGACAACAGAGGCCCUUCCUUCAGGCUGCAUGCAGAACAGAUGCAGGUAGCCAUGAAGCCAAAUCUGGAAGGAGAUGAUGCUUCCUCUGAAGAUCAGAGAACAGAUGCAAAAACUAUUGCUCAAGGAAAAUAAAGUGAAAACGAGGAAAAGCAAAAGAAGAUCUGGAGAGGGCUCUCACCUGACCACAAGCAUCCUGGAGCAAUGAGUUUCAGGCAGGAAGACUCAUCCUGAGCUGAGCUGCUUUUCUUGAAGUUGUGCAAGAACGUCCUGUUGGCUGGGGCAAAUUCAGUAUUUCUUUUCCUGGCCACUGUGCUGGAGCGUGAGGAAAGACUCUCCACCCUCACUCCCAGAUCCUGCAGGAGGCGUGAGAGCGGAUGGAGAUGGUGAGGAUGUCUAUUAAUAUGGUGUUUCCUGCAAAACGGUGCCCAUCUCAACCAUGGGUUGUCAACCAUCCUCGGUGUCUACAACUGCAAUUUACCUUUGAGGGCCCAUGAACUCUGAUUACCUGAAAGUCCUUAGGCCAGAAAGAGAAACCCCUGUCCCCCACCUCUCACUUUCACCUAUUUCUAGACCUUUUCUUACAGCAAUGCCUUGGCCCUCAGGAAGCAUCAGAUCUCAAACUGCAGGGUCUGGGGCUGAAGCUGAUGCUGGCAUGGGUGACUCAGAGUUCCUCUAUUAGUUCAAAUAUGUAAUAUCUUUUAGAGCCUAGGACUCAGGCUGGAGGCAAUUCCUUGGUGCCAGUUGGUUAAUACUUUAUGAAUAGUGGUGGGGGAGGGAAUGCCUUGGACUAUUAAUGUCCCCAUGGAUCUGGAUCCUGGAGAACUUCCAGUGUCCUGGAUGGAAUGUUCUGCUUGGCUCAUCUUGCCCAGAGAAGAGCCAGGAUAUGAGAAGAUGGGAGAGGGAAGGGGGAGGUGUGAAACGUGCUGGUGCUUCCUGUCCUCGUGGUGUGAUGGCUGCCCAGGCUGCUCCUUCGAGGCAGGACAGGAUUCCCAUGGGAGAUAUGAGGACCAUGGUGAUUUCCAGGCACCAGUUAUGUCCCAGAGCAUCGUGUGCCUGUGCAGUGGGGUUACUGAUAGUCCAGGCAUCAGUUCAUAUUGUCCUUUAUGGCAGAUCCUGCACAAGGGGGUUCUCUGUCUCUGGACCCACUCUGUCAGCAUGGACAUCCUUUUUCUUUUUCCCUGGUAAGGACAUCAGAAAGAAAGUUACCCCUCCAGUGUUUGGAGUCUUGGAAUCCUUGGCCUGCCUGCAGGCCUCUGAAUCCUCAGUGUGUUAGCCCAAGGUCACCUUAGGUAAAGGAACAUUUCUCCUGGUCUUCCAACACCCUGGAAAGGGAGGCUCUUCAAGAAUAGGAAAUUCUUCCUAGUAUCUAACCUUGGCCUGCAACUAUGCCAUACAUUUAAUUGUAGAAGGUAUGGAAAGUUAGGACUGUGGUGGACCCAGUUAAAUCACUGGACAGAAGCCAUGAGGCAGAGCCAGAACCAGCUUCUGGACUCCCUGCAUGGAGCUUUCUACUAUCCCAGGUUGUUGGGUCCCUUCUCAGUGGCCAAAGAUGCUAUUUUAUGAGCCUUGAGGACAUGACACUAAGUGAAAAAAGCCUGGCCAAAGGGCCACAUAGUGUAUAGUUCUAUUUAUAUGAAAUGUCCAGGAAAGACAAAAGCAUAGAGGCAGAAAGCAGACUAGUGCUGUGGGAGGAAUGGGGGAUUUGGGAGGUGAUGGCUAAGGGGUUAUGGGGUUUUGGGGGAGGUAAUAGAAAUGUUUUAAAAUUGGUUGUGAAGGUGGAUGCCCAACUCUGCGAAUACACUAAAAGGCAUCGAAUUGUAUACUUUAAAUAGGUGAAUUGUAUGCUAUGUGAAUUAUAUCUCAAUA
Long non-coding RNA from Homo sapiens (human), 2296 nucleotides. Ensembl annotates it as small nucleolar RNA host gene 28. Its record names the gene SNHG28. NCBI's taxonomy places the organism in Eukaryota, Metazoa, Chordata, Mammalia, Primates, Hominidae. The record is from Ensembl.